UCCUCCAUUCUGCCGCCCAGCUCCCUGAAACCAACAAAUAUCGAAUAUACUUGCUUCUCCGCACCCAAGGCCUGGACUGAGCAGGCUCAGCGCUAUGGGAUCGCAGCAGGAGUACCCGGUCCUUGCGUGGUCACCAGCUGCAGCCUCUUUCUUCGCUAUUUGCUGGGUUAAAACGCUUCUCUCUCACUUCCCUCCUUUUCGCCCUGGAUCUGAGAAAUAAAUCCAAGUCUCCUACUGCAUCAGCCCUCCCCAUCGCUGCUAUCUCACUUCUCCUUACCGAAGAUAAUCUCUUUGUUUCCUGAAGGAAACCGUAAUAUUCAGACAUUUGAGCGAAUCCAGUGUUUACAAGAUGAGAAAUGCCACUGCCAGCGUUCUUCUGGAGAGAAAGGCUGAAAUGGAGGACCGACGCGCCUUCCUUAUAAGCUCAUUGGACCCUGAGCCAGCACCGACUUGGUAGAAAAAGCAACSACGAAGCCAGAGAGAAAGAGAGAGCCAGAGGAGGGAAGAGAGCGCCAGACUGAGAUGAAAGGGAACCACGCAGAGAAACGCUGGGAAAGGAACCAGACGGCAGGUCCCCCGAACAAACGUGGCAGAGGGCAUGACAAGCACUCACUGGCUCGCGGACAGAGGUUUAUAUAUUUUUAUUUUUAAAGUCUCAUUUUGGG
Long non-coding RNA from Urocitellus parryii (Arctic ground squirrel), 665 nucleotides. RefSeq lists it as uncharacterized. The record is from RefSeq and is a predicted model, not a curated record. Lineage: Eukaryota; Metazoa; Chordata; Mammalia; Rodentia; Sciuridae.